RNAcentral lists this non-coding RNA (29 nucleotides) under Mus musculus (house mouse). Lineage: Eukaryota; Metazoa; Chordata; Mammalia; Rodentia; Muridae. The record is from RNAcentral.
UCCUGAACCUCCCCUGAAGUGGGAAUGGA